GACGAACGCUGGCGGCGUGCUUAACACAUGCAAGUCGAACGAUGAAGCCGGAGCUUGCUCUGGUGAAUUAGUGGCGAACGGGUGAGUAACACGUGAGUAACCUGCCCUUGACUCUGGGAUAACUGCGGGAAACUGUAGCUAAUACCGGAUACGACCCUCGGAGGCAUCUCCUGGGGGUGGAAAGAAUUUCGGUCAAGGAUGGACUCGCGGCCUAUCAGCUAGUUGGUGAGGUAAAGGCUCACCAAGGCGACGACGGGUAGCCGGCCUGAGAGGGUGACCGGCCACACUGGGACUGAGACACGGCCCAGAGUCCUACGGGAGGCAGCAGUGGGGAAUAUUGCACAAUGGGCGCAAGCCUGAUGCAGCAACGCCGCGUGAGGGAUAACGGCCUUCGGGUUGUAAACCUCUUUUAGCAGGGAAGAAGCGAAAGUGACGGUACCUGCAGAAAAAGCACCGGCUAACUGCGUGCCAGCCGCCGCCGUAA
This 484-nucleotide ribosomal RNA is filed under the name uncultured bacterium. Its description in RNAcentral is "partial 16S ribosomal RNA". It matches the Rfam family "Bacterial small subunit ribosomal RNA", at positions 28 to 523 of the family's 1533-position model. The record is from RNAcentral.